CAGUCGUACCUUCGGGUAAUCAGCCUUUCGAGUGCGAUUCUGUGGAGUGUGAGGAGCUUAACACCUUCAUGCUUUGCAUAUUUGUGCUCUUGGGUGUACUUGGACGUGCGGUAGGUUAACAUCAAUUUCGGACGUCAUAAAAUGGCUGGAGGAAUGUAGCUUCGAUCUCGUAUUGAAGUGUUAUAGCCUUCGGUAAAUGUGAUGAACGAGAUUGAGGAUUGCAACGGAUACCCUUCGGGGCUACCUGUCUGGUCUCUGAUCGUUGCUCUGGUGCCGAAAGCUUGCUUACGGUCAUCAAAGUCGAUGGUCAAUAGGUUAGAACGGGUUAAA
RNAcentral lists this ribosomal RNA (330 nucleotides) under Rhizophagus irregularis. RNAcentral describes it as "partial large subunit ribosomal RNA". Lineage: Eukaryota; Fungi; Glomeromycota; Glomeromycetes; Glomerales; Glomeraceae. The record is from RNAcentral.